UCACAUUAUCCCACUAGGUGGGGUCGGC
This 28-nucleotide small RNA is filed under the name Bombyx mori (domestic silkworm). RNAcentral describes it as "ovarian small RNA-25074". The record is from RNAcentral. Lineage: Eukaryota; Metazoa; Arthropoda; Insecta; Lepidoptera; Bombycidae.